CCUGCUGCUGGAGGUUUAAGUAGCACAUCUGUGUCAGAAACUGGCAGAGAAGAGAGAGGCUAUGUAUAUGCUUACUGUUCUAAUCAAUGAACAUGUGAAUGAUUAUUAGCCUAACAUU
This 118-nucleotide small nucleolar RNA is filed under the name Meriones unguiculatus (Mongolian gerbil). Its description in RNAcentral is "Small nucleolar RNA SNORA17 (ENSMUGG00000014876.1)". It matches the Rfam family "Small nucleolar RNA SNORA17". From Rfam's summary of the family: snoRNA ACA 17 belongs to the H/ACA family of snoRNAs and is predicted to guide pseudouridylation of the 28S rRNA at positions U4659 and U4598. It shares the same host gene together with ACA43. The record is from RNAcentral. Lineage: Eukaryota; Metazoa; Chordata; Mammalia; Rodentia; Muridae.